GACAUGGUCUCAGAAGCGCGCGCUAACGAACUGCAAAACCUUACACACUCCCCUCCUUAAAAACAAGCACCGUCCUCGGUGCGAGAACGUCACUAAGUGGCCAUAGUCGUGCGCCUCUCCGAUUCCCUGAACGAAAUCGGUACCAGGCUAACUAGGGGAAGGCAAAAGGGAACCGGAGUCAAGGCAAAACCUUCCCCGCACUGGAUACCGGCCUAUAAUGUGGCGCACGACUCCUACCAUAUCCGGCUUAAGAAUCCGGAGAUACGCAAAAGCUGCUACGAAAACGACUUAAAUCUGACUACACGGAACCCAAAUACCCAGACGCGAACAAACACGUGAAAUGCAAUACCACACUACGUUGAACUGACUGGUGUAAUCUACGGACAGGAACAGAACGAAGACGCACAGAUAUACCGAAUACACAUGAUGACACACACACACAUCCAGCCGCAGCUCUACUCUGCCAAAAACUGUACGAUCCUUGGGGCAUGCUCCGGGAACUUGGCUCUGAACCACGCAUAGCGAUCUGAUAGCUUGAACGCGGUCCAGCUUGGGCUCCUCAGGAAGGCACGAAGCGCUGGCAGGUUGUGCAUGUCGUCGUAUGGUUCCCAUGAGGGGUCGCGUUUACUACUAGCGGACCACUGCACGAGGAACAUGACGGACGGGCGUGCGCGCUUGUUAUACCCCAGGCGAACAGCUGUAACAACAGUAUCUGCACUGUCAUAUGGGGAUUCUAGUGCAGUAGGGGCUGCAGGGGGAGGUGGUGGGCGGCCGGGGAAGAGCGCUGGGUUGUUGUCCGUCCAUGGAAGGAGGCGGCUGAUGUGGAAUACUGGAUGCAAGCGGCCGAGGGAGGCUGGAAGGUGAAGGCGGUAUGCAACUGGAGAAAUGACGGAGGAGAUGAGGAAAGGCCCGAGGUAGCGAGGGCGAAGUUUUGGGGAGGGGUAGGUCGGCAGGGUGAGGUGUUCUGUGGACAGGCGGACGCGAUCGCCAACUUUGAAGGUGAUGGCGCGGCGAUGCUGGUUAGCUGUUGCAGCGUAGCGGGUUUUGGCGGCUUGAAUUUCGCGGUUGAUGGUGGCAUGGAUGUCGCUCAUACGCUGCUGUAGUUCUGAAGCCUGCGGGUGAGAGGAAGGUGAAGCGGCUUGGGGGCCGUGGAGGGAGAUGGGAGUGCGCGGGUGGUAACCGUGAUUGGUGUAGAAUGGUGUCAUGCCGGUGCUUGCGUGGGUGGUGUUGUUGUAUGCUGCUUCGGUGAUCGGAAGGUAUGAUGCCCAGUUGUCCUGCAUAGGUUGAGUGUAAGCGCGGAGGAUCUGUUCAAUAGUGCGAUGUGUUCUCUCGGUUUGACCGUCAGUUUGUGGAUGAUAGGCGGAGGAGAUGUUUAGGGACGUGCCAAGGUGCUCCCAGAAGGUGCGCCAGAUGUCGGACAUGAAGCGGGAAUCUCGGUCUGAGACGAGGGUUGUUGGAAGACCGUGUAGACGGUAGACGUGGGUGAGGAAGAGUAGGGCGGUGUCGUGGGUGGUGGUGGUCUUAUUAGUGAGGGCGAAGUGGGCUUGCUUGGUGAACAUAUCGACGAAGGUGAGGAUUGCGGUGUAGGUGCGGCCGUCCAAACCUUUAGAGGGCGGCAGGUCGGUGAUGAAGUCCAGAGACACGUGUGUCCAGGGUUGGGUGGGGGUGGGUAGCAGGUGGAGGAGGCCAGGCGGAGGCUGGGUGGAUGGCUUGGUGCGUUGACAGAUGGGGCAGGACUUGACGUAGGCUUUGACGGUGCGGGCCAUGUAAGGCCACCAGUAGCGGGUUGAUAUCGCGGCGAGGGUGCGACGAAAACCAGGAUGACCAGAGUAAGCAGCAUCGUGGAAUUCGUGAAGUAGGCGGCGGUGUAAGGAUGGGACGUUAUGGAUGGUGAUGCGGUUGGCGAAGUAGAAGAAACCGUCUGGGGAACGUUGGAGGUAGGGCUUGGUGGUUGUUGAAUUGGAGUACAUGGGGUCGGUGGUGUAUCCGAAACGGAUGUCAUCUGCGAGGCUGGGGUCUGGCACGACAUGGGCUGCGAUGGUGAAACAGGCAUGAUGAAGGGCAUGGUUGGCUGCGACGUCGACAGGUGGUGAAGUGGAGGGCCAAAGCGGGGGAGGUGAUGGAGAUGUAAGUGAGGUUAGGUUUUCUGCUGAUGUAAUGGGAGGUGAGGGACUGGGGUCAGAGGUCUCUGGGGUAGGGGCUGGGCUGACCGGGAAGCGGGAGAGGGCGUCGGCCAUGUUUUGAGGGCCGGGGCGAUAAGUGAUUGUGAUGUAGCCUUGGAAUGGGGCGAGGAGCUGAGCCCAACGGGCUUGACGACGAGACAGAUCCUUUUGGGUGAAGAAGCGUUGCAAGGUGUCGUGGUCUGUGCAGAGCAUAAAGUGGCAGCCUUCGAGAUAGCACUGGAACUUACGCACUGCGUGUACGACAGCAAGCAACUCCAGCUCGUGAAUGGGGUAGUUGGCUUCAUGACGGCUGAGCUUGCGGGACUCGAACGCCACGGGAUGUAGGGCGCCGUUGCGUUCUUGAAGGAGCACAGUGCCAAUGCCGAGGAUGGAGGCGUCGGUAUAAAGGGUGAAGGUGGCGUUGGUGCCGGUGUCUGGGAUGAUGAGAGCUGGGGCUGACAUUAGGGCGUCGCGGAGGGCAUGGAAGGCGGCGACGGCGUCGGCGGGUAGGACCUUGGGAAAGGGCUGGGUUGUUUUGGUGAGGGUGGUAAGAGGAAGGGCGAUGCGGGCGUAGUCUUUGAUGAAGCGGCGGUAGAACCCAGUGAAGCCUAGGAAGGCGCGAAUGUCGGUGAUGGAGGAAGGAAUGGGGAAAUUGGCAAGGGCGGUGAGCUUGUCAGGGUCUGUCGUGAUGCCGUCGCGGGAGAUGAUGAAUCCGCAGAACUUGGUGGUGGGUUGCACGAAAGAGCACUUGGAAAAGCGGACAUGGAGGUGGUGGUCUUGAAGUGUGCGUAGAACGGCUUCCACGUCACGGCAAUGGUCUUCAAAGGUGCGGGAGUAGAUGAGGACGUCGUCGAGGUACACAACCGCACACUUGUUGCGGAAGGGGUGGAGGACGUCGUUCAUGAGGGACAUGAAGGUGGCGGGGGCUCCUGUAAGUCCGAAGGGAAGAACAAGCCAUUCGUACAGACCAUACUUACACCGAAAAGCCGUUUUAUGCACAUCGGGUUCGUGCACCCGGACUUGAUGGUAGCCUGACCAGAGGUCCAGCUUGGUGAAAUAGGCUGCGCCGUGCAGCUGGUCAAGGAGCUCGUCCACGCGCGGCAGGGGAUACGCAUUCUUGACUGUUAGCUGGUUGAUUGCACGAAAGUCCACACAGAGGCGCAGACCGUUACCACCAGGUUUACGGGCGAACAGAAUAGGGGCACCAAAGGGUGAUGUUGACGGGCAAAUCCAGCCACGGUCAAGGUAGUUCUUGAGCUGCUUGUCCAGUUCUUGAAGUUCUGCUGGGGACAUGCGAUACUCGCGCUGCUUAGGAGGCUGGGCGUCAGGGACCAACUCGAUGUGGUGGUCGCAUGGGCAUGAUGGUGGUAGACCCGAUGGUUCUUCGAAGAUGGUUGCGUAGCGCUGGAGGACAGACUGAAGGGCUGGUGGUACGGACGGGGAGGCGGUGGGUUGAGGGGGGGCUUCAGGGUCGACUUCGGGAUCUUCGAUGGGAUGGAGGACACCCAUGUAAACAGGUGGUGAUGGGUUGAAUGGAGCUCGCUUGCGAGGGUUGGUGGCAUUGGGUGGUGGCGGUCGGGCGGCAGCUUGGCGAAUGCAUUUCUGCAUGCGGGCGAUGGAGACGAAUUCAAUCUGAAAAGCGGAUGGGCAAUACGAGGAAUGUGGAAUGACGGUGUCACCGAUGGUGACGGUGUUGGUACGCCAGUCGAUUUGGGGGUUGUUGGUAGUAAGCCAGGGUUUCCCAAGGAUGGCGUCGUAUCCGUCAAGGUCGAGGGUGAAGAAGGUGGUGCACUCAUGGUGUGAUUGGAUAGCCAAGGGGGCGUUGGGAAGGGCGGAGGAACAGAGGGCGAGGUGUCCGUUGGCCAAACGAACACGUAAUGACUGCGAAGCUGGAAGGUUGGCGGAGUGUAAUUGGUGAUGUUGGAGGAAGGAGUGGGCAAUGAAGUUGCGGGAAGCACCAGAAUCCAGGAGGACUCGGGCGGGAUGGCCAGCUAUGGUGGCAUCGAAGACGAUAAGGGUGGUGGAGAGAUUGUCGGUGACGGACGCAAUGCGACCUAGGAUAGGCGGGAUGAAGGGGCGUUCCACCGUAGACCUUUGUUCGUCUAUCUGUGGAAGCGAAGCUUGAGGAGCGCGGUGGGGCUGGGGGGUAGGAUGCUGUACGAGGGGGAAAGAUGGUUGGGCUGGCUGGCUGACGGUUGGUGUAGGCGGAGGUGGGGAAGAGGCAGCGGAUGUUGGAGUUUGCGAAAAACGAGCGAUAAGAUUAGCGACAUUAGAGCGUGGUGAUGGAGGGCGGUCCGAUGGCUGGGGCGGCGGUGGGGGAUGGGAGCUGGAAAAAUGUUGGAUGAGAGUUUUGACUGACGACGUGGAUGAUGUUGACGGAUGGUUGGCGGAAGCGAAUGAGGGAUGGGACGAGGUGGAGACGGGAUGAAGGGUGGUAUCGGGAAGCAGGGUGGCGGAUGUAGACGCGAGAGUAAAGGGGGCUGACGAUGGUGGAUCGUGGAGGACUACUACAGGCCAAGGGCUGGGACCCGGUUCUCCAUACCUGGACGGGUCUGAAGAGGUGGGGCGGCAGACGAUCUGGGUGCCGGCAGGGAAGCAGCGGACGAUGGUCAUGUGGCGGAUGAGAGGGGCCCAAGAGGCUUGUGGACGAUCAGGUAGGACAAUGAUGGCAGAGGUUUUGGGGUUGGCGGUCUUGGCGUCGAGGUAGCGGGCGACGAUGGUGGAGGUGUUGUCGACAGGUGGCACCAUCCAUACGCACUCUCCUUCGAUGUCGGUUGAUAGGAAAGGUCGGGACGGUGAGAAAAAGGGUGAGAGCUGUGCAGUUAAGCCGAGGUCAUCACAGUAGGCAUCGACGGUAAAUGGGCCGUACUGUGAAUUGUAUUCAAGAAAAAGCAAUCGCGCGAUUUUCCAAUCGUUGCUUGCCUGGCAUGCUCCCUUCGAUGUCGAGGCUGCAGCUGCGUGAGCACGCUUGCGACCAACACGGCGGGCAGGCUUGCGGACGAUUUGAGCUAGACAUUGAACGUUGAACGCGGUUUCGGACGAGUGCACAGCAGAUGACGUCGGCAGGCUGUGGCUGACCGUUUCUGCCGACGACGGCCUAAGAGCCAAUUUAACGGGGGCCUGGGGAGCAGGAGCGGGUAGGGGAUUUGUCGCUGAUGUGCUGGGAGCGGCGGCCGUGGGAGCUGUUACUGAGGCAGGAGGGAGAACGACCGCGAUGGCUGUGGUUGUCGUAUUGGUGGUGGCUGCGUGAACAUCGAUCCUCGGAGGUGGAGGACGCGGAGGAGCGGGAGGGCGAGCGGGCAGGCGAGCGGGCAGGCGAGCGGGGCGGUUUGCGGCUGUUGUUAGCACCCUGAAAGGAGUGCCGGCGGGAGGAGUUGGGUUGGGAGAUGGUGGUUGCUGCCAGGAGGCGACGAAGUUCCGGGCAGUGUUCCUUGGCGUGCGACUCGUCACCACACUGUAGGCAGACAUGCUGGGCCAUGCGCUGGAGGCGCAAGUUGUAGGGGACUCCGAUGGUUUUGACGCCGCUCGGAAGAGGUAAGUUGCUGUGGUGCGGUGUGGUGGAGUAGACGUUGGCGGUGAGGUCCAUAGGGUCGUCCCGGCGGACGUCUCGGAAGCUGCGUGGCGCGGUGUUGUAGUCAAUGAGAUGAGCAUUGUGGCGCCCGGAAAAGAUGCCCAUCGCCAAGUCAAUGAUGAUCUGCAGGGUCACAUCAGUGCCGUAUUGAGGAAGCCUUGCGUAGACUUCCUCACGGAGGUCCCUGUUGAGACCUUUCACGAAGUGAAAGAUGUGGUCGAGUUCGUGACGGUGAGGAAGGUCGCCCAUAAGGCGUCCGAAAGCGGCCACGUACGACACCAGAGAGUUCGGGCCUGAGCCUUGACGAAUGGUGUCCAUGCUGAUCUGUGCCUGGAGGAGGCGAUCGGGUCUGGGCGCGAGGGGCGUUAGCGCUUGAAGGACCGCAGUUAAGGAAGUAAAGGGGGUACGUUGGUGGCGGAGGAGGGUGUCCAGGGUAGGUCCUUCGAUGGCAGACAGGGCGAUGGCGACAGCAGGCGCACUGUCUUCAUGCAGACCGCAUACCGUAAAGUGGAGGCGGAGGCGGUUGGCCCACGAAGUGAGGUCGGCGUCCUUGGCCGUGGGGUUGAAUCGGGGGGCUGGUCCGCACUGGUUGUUUGACGAAUGAUUCUCUAAGGCACGUACGGCAGCAUGUGCAGCGACUUCUGAGAUUCUAUCCCAGGGGAGAGCGGCUUCGGACGUGGUGGGGGGCGCCGCGGGCGCGGGGUCGGUGGCGGCAGGAAAGGAAGGCGGAAACGGGAACUCGUUCGAGAGAGACAUGGUUGAGGACGAAGAUGAAGAGGACGAAGAUGAAGUGACGAGGGCGAUGACGAAGUGAUCAGGGCGAAGGCGAAGUGAUGAGGGCGAAGGCGAAGCGAUGAGGGCGAAGGCGAAGUGAUGAGGGCGAAGACGAAGACGGAGUGAUGAAGGCGAAGAGGACGAAGACGAAGUGACGAGGGCGAUGACGAAGUGAUCAGGGCGAAGGCGAAGUGAUGAGGGCGAAGGCGAAGCGAUGAGGGCGAAGGCGAAGUGAUGAGGGCGAAGACGAAGACGAAGUGAUGAAGGUGAAGACGAAGUGUAGAGGCGAAGAUGAUGGCGCGAUGGCGCGAUGGCGCGAUGACGACGAAGACGAUGGCAACGACGAUGAAGAGCUCGGCGAGGAGGAUCACCUAGGCUCUGAUACCAAUUGAAAGGGAACCAGGCCGCUCCUAACAACUGGGAAGUGCAAGCUGACUUUACUGGCCGAUAUACUUGCGUAAGCACAGAAGAUCGGGCUUUUCAAUUUCAACUUAGACUUACAAUGUUCGUAAAAUGGUCCGCUUAAAUAGUCAUAUUAGCGCGCCAUUGUCUCACACGGAGAACCACAAGAUCAAGCUCCACUAGCUCCGAAGUUACGACAUGGUCUCAGAAGCGCGCGCUAACGAACUGCAAAACCUUACAC
This 7150-nucleotide long non-coding RNA is filed under the name Volvox carteri. Its description in RNAcentral is "long non-coding RNA (VCAR_LNC000415)". Lineage: Eukaryota; Viridiplantae; Chlorophyta; Chlorophyceae; Chlamydomonadales; Volvocaceae. The record is from RNAcentral.